RNAcentral lists this ribosomal RNA (245 nucleotides) under uncultured bacterium. RNAcentral's name for it is "partial 16S ribosomal RNA". It matches the Rfam family "Bacterial small subunit ribosomal RNA", at positions 524 to 768 of the family's 1533-position model. The record is from RNAcentral.
UACAGAGGUGGCAAGCGUUGUUCGGAUUUACUGGGCGUAAAGGGUGCGUAGGUGGUUCAGUGUGUCGGGUGUUAAAUUUCGCCGCUUAACGGCGAACAGUCGCUCGAAACUGCUGAACUAGAGUGCAGGAGAGGAAAGCGGAAUUCUUGGUGUAGCGGUGGAAUGCGUUGAUAUCAAGAGGAACACCAGUGGCGAAGGCGGCUUUCUGGAAUGCAACUGACACUUAGGCACGAAAGUUGGGGUAG